GGGCACUUGGCACAGUUGGUAGCGCGCACGCUUCGCAUUUCUAGAUUGCGUGAGGUCGUGGGUUCAACUCCCACAGUGUCCA
This 82-nucleotide transfer RNA is filed under the name Suillus subaureus. It matches the Rfam family "tRNA". From Rfam's summary of the family: Transfer RNA (tRNA) molecules are approximately 80 nucleotides in length. Their secondary structure includes four short double-helical elements and three loops (D, anti-codon, and T loops). Lineage: Eukaryota; Fungi; Basidiomycota; Agaricomycetes; Boletales; Suillaceae. The record is from Rfam by way of RNAcentral.